UGGGGAAUCUUGGACAAUGGGGGCAACCCUGAUCCAGCGACGCCGCGUGGGUGGUAAGGCCUUCGGGUUGUAAAGCCCUUUCAGGAGGGAAGAAGCGAAAGUGACGGUACCUCCAGAAGAAGGCCCGGCCAACUACGUGCCAGCAGCCGCGGUAAUACGUAGGGGCCUAGCGUUGUCCGGAAUUAUUGGGCGUAAAGAGCUCGUAGGCGGCCCACCAAGUCGGAUGUGAAAUCUCAAGGCUUAACCUUGAAAUUGCAUCCGAUACUGAUGGGCUUGAGGCAGGUAGGGGAAGGUGGAAUUCCUGGUGUAGCGGUGAAAUGCGCAGAUAUCAGGAGGAACACCGGUGGCGAAGGCGGCCUUCUGGGCCUGUACUGACGCUGAGGAGCGAAAGCGUGGGGAGCAAACAGGAUUAGAUACCCCCGUAGUCC
This 428-nucleotide ribosomal RNA is filed under the name uncultured prokaryote. RNAcentral describes it as "bacterial SSU rRNA". It matches the Rfam family "Bacterial small subunit ribosomal RNA", at positions 355 to 796 of the family's 1533-position model. The record is from RNAcentral.